This 220-nucleotide unclassified non-coding RNA is filed under the name Ascomycota sp. RNAcentral describes it as "partial contains small subunit ribosomal RNA, internal transcribed spacer 1, and 5.8S ribosomal RNA". The stretch from base 1 to 47 matches the Rfam family "Eukaryotic small subunit ribosomal RNA", at positions 1785 to 1831 of the family's 1831-position model. Lineage: Eukaryota; Fungi; Ascomycota. The record is from RNAcentral.
AAAGUCGUAACAAGGUCUCCGUUGGUGAACCAGCGGAGGGAUCAUUACCGAGUUUACAACUCCCAAACCCCUGUGAACAUACCAUUUGUUGCCUCGGCGGAUCACCGCGCCCCGUGAAACGGGACGGCCCGCCAGAGGACCCAAACCCUGUCUUAAUUUGUAUCUUCUGAGUACCACUAUAAAUAAAUCAAAACUUUCAACAACGGAUCUCUUGGUUCUG